GAAGAACAGAAGAAAACAGUCACAAAUAAAAGAAAUUGAGGGAAAUUCUGCAAUGGUAUAUACAUAUUACCAUUUGGAAAACUUUGUUGCAUUGCAGCAGACAAAGAUGGCUGUAGCUGCAAAGGGAUGUCUUCCAGACAACUUUCAAGCUGAGGCACAGAACAAAAACUAUGUUGAUCCUUCUCAUCAAUGACAUACUGAAGACCUAAGAUGGGUAGUAAUAUCUAUCCUUUUGGAUCCCUUGGUGACUUUUGAAUCCAUCAGCUCUAGUAUCCUUCUGGACUGUGAAAAUUGGUAUGACUGAAAUUUGAAGACAAACAUUUGUUUUUAUUUCUACACUCUGAAGACUGCCCCUGGUUCAAGGAAAACCUAAUUUCUACCACAAGAUGUAAUGUUUCACACAGUUGCUCAUAUAAUUUUGAAAAGAUUCAUUUCUGGCUUGUGUGGAGUUGAAGAAAAUAGAGAAAGAAGAGGUCCUACUAGGGAACAACAAGAACAUGAUUUGUGAGACUACAAGUUUGAGUUUGUGUCUCCAACUUCAUCUGGACAGCUGCUACACAAUUCUGUGACAGAAAACAUAAUUCCUUCUACAUUACUGCAAUACAGACACCCACAGCUUUUAUUUUCCAGUCAUGCCUAUGAACCUCAAGGCUUGCCCAAUUUUGCUUGAAACAGCUACUUAAAAAUAAGAAGACAGGGACCACGACUGACGUUUCCAUCUAAAAUCUUAAAGUAAAACUUUCUUCUAAUACUUUGUUCAUGAAAUAUUGUAUCUCUUAGUGGUAGGUCUACUGUUAACUUGCAGUA
Long non-coding RNA from Crotalus tigris (Tiger rattlesnake), 807 nucleotides. RefSeq lists it as uncharacterized. NCBI's taxonomy places the organism in Eukaryota, Metazoa, Chordata, Lepidosauria, Squamata, Viperidae. The record is from RefSeq and is a predicted model, not a curated record. The transcript is spliced from 6 exons.